Antechinus flavipes (yellow-footed antechinus) is the source of this 563-nucleotide long non-coding RNA. RefSeq lists it as uncharacterized. The transcript has 2 exons. NCBI's taxonomy places the organism in Eukaryota, Metazoa, Chordata, Mammalia, Dasyuromorphia, Dasyuridae. The record is from RefSeq and is a predicted model, not a curated record.
ACAAUCCAAAAGAAUAUUAACACACUGACUACCACUGCGCAAAUGCAGACAUUAAACAGCAAUUAAUAUCAGGUCAAAUACAUUAAAUAAUGUUGACACUAAAUUGCUCAGAUGAAAGUACACACCCUUUCCUGUAACAGUCAACUAGGAAAGUAAAAACUGAUCUGAUCUUCCCCAAGACAUGCAUACAUGUGCCUUCAUCUUCUUUAUUGCCAGUAUGGAACUGAGGGAUCAGAAACAGGGAGUAGACCUGUGAUUCCAAUGGUAUGAGGAAUUCCCGAGAGGAAACUCCAUCUACUAAAUGCAAGUUGAUACUUUCUCUACAAGUUAGAAUUGUCCAAGUUAAAUGAGCUGCCAAAGGCCACAUAUCUGAAAUGUCAAAGACAAGACUUGAACAAAAUUGAAUUUUUUUCGAAUUUGAGCAUCUUUUAGAGAGACCCCUCUGGAAGAGGGAUGUCAAAUUCCCUGUUCACGGUCUGCAAGCUGCCUGCUGCAAAACUUCUGAACUAGAUUAAAAUGUAUUGGAAAAUGUUAAAUAAAAUAAAGAUACAAAUGCCACAUAA